CUUUUCCUAAUGAAAACUUGUCUGAGUACCAUUUUGAAUCAUUUCAAAACCUUGGAUCCCAAAGAAGGAGGUGAGUUGUUUUCAGAUGGUGCAGAGACCACAUGGUCUCACGUAGUCUCCACGGAAAAAGGACUAUCACGGGUAUGUUGUUUUCAGGAGUGGACUAUUUAAUCUCUCACACACUCACACCCACUCACACCCCUCUCUCUAUAUAUCCAUCUUCUGCUGCUGCUUAUUCUUAUCUUCACCACAAAGCAAACAUUAGUCCGAUGGUCUCCAAUGCCCACUUUCAUUCCAACCGCUCAUCUCUCUCAACCUCACCAAUUUUCACCGGAGCACGGUGGAAGCCGACGGAGCUCACCGAUCUCGCUUCCGACGUCGUCUGAAACAGAGACCCAAGGGACAUAUUAAAAAUGUGUUGUACUCGGAGAAGGACUACCGUUACGUUAAUGCUUCCUCUUUAUUGGCAUCCGGUCUUAAGGAAACAUGGGUUAUACAAGUGAUUUAUCUGGAGACGGAGGUGUCAUCAAGACCAUUAUAAGGCGAUCCAAACCUGAUGUAGUUGCUCCAUCAUAGGAUCUUUCUCUUCUUGAUGGUCAUUAUCAAAGUGUGAUUUCUAAUUUGUUACGUUUUAAGGAAUAAAUGGCACCUGAGUUGUGAGCUGAAA
Molecule: long non-coding RNA, 667 nt
Organism: Cornus florida
Lineage: Eukaryota; Viridiplantae; Streptophyta; Magnoliopsida; Cornales; Cornaceae
Exons: 3
Source: RefSeq, a predicted model, not a curated record